GCCGACGUAGCUCAGUAGGUAGAGCAACUGAUUCGUAAUCAGUAGGUCGGGGGUUCGACUCCCUCCGUCGGCA
This 73-nucleotide transfer RNA is filed under the name Alkalispirillum mobile. Its description in RNAcentral is "tRNA-Thr". It matches the Rfam family "tRNA". Rfam says of the family: Transfer RNA (tRNA) molecules are approximately 80 nucleotides in length. Lineage: Bacteria; Pseudomonadati; Pseudomonadota; Gammaproteobacteria; Chromatiales; Ectothiorhodospiraceae. The record is from RNAcentral. RNAcentral also lists the same sequence under 1 other name.